This 67-nucleotide transfer RNA is filed under the name Marmota monax (woodchuck). RNAcentral's name for it is "tRNA.Ala". Lineage: Eukaryota; Metazoa; Chordata; Mammalia; Rodentia; Sciuridae. The record is from RNAcentral.
GGUUGUGGCUCAGUGGUAGAGCAUUCAACUCGCAUCGGUGAGACCCUGGGUUCGAUCCUCAGCACCA